AUCGUAACUCCUACGGGAGGCAGCAGUGGGGGAUAUUGCACAAUGGGCGCAAGCCUGAUGCAGCGACGCCGCGUGAGGGAUGACGGCCUUCGGGUUGUAAACCUCUUUCAGUAGGGAAGAAGCGAAAGUGACGGUACCUGCAGAAGAAGCACCGGCUAACUACGUGCCAGCAGCCGCGGUAAUACGUAGGGUGCGAGCGUUAUCCGGAAUUAUUGGGCGUAAAGAGCUCGUAGGCGGUUUGUCGCGUCUGCCGUGAAAGUCCGGGGCUUAACUCCGGAUCUGCGGUGGGUACGGGCAGACUAGAGUGAUGUAGGGGAGACUGGAAUUCCUGGUGUAGCGGUGAAAUGCGCAGAUAUCAGGAGGAACACCGAUGGCGAAGGCAGGUCUCUGGGCAUUAACUGACGCUGAGGAGCGAAAGCAUGGGGAGCGAACAGGAUUAGAAACCCGAGUAGUCCUAGAGC
This 461-nucleotide ribosomal RNA is filed under the name uncultured bacterium. RNAcentral's name for it is "bacterial SSU rRNA". It matches the Rfam family "Bacterial small subunit ribosomal RNA", at positions 329 to 802 of the family's 1533-position model. The record is from RNAcentral.